UGGGGAAUUUUGGACAAUGGGCGCAAGCCUGAUCCAGCCAUGCCGCGUGAGUGAAGAAGGCCUUCGGGUUGUAAAGCUCUUUUGUCAGGGAGCAAAACUUGGUGGUUAAGAGCUGCCAAGGCUGAGAGUACCUGAAGAAUAAGCACCGGCUAACUACGUGCCAGCAGCCGCGGUAAUACGUAGGGUGCGAGCGUUAAUCGGAAUUACUGGGCGUAAAGCGUGCGCAGGUGGUUUUGUAAGCCAGAUGUGAAAUCCCCGGGCUCAACCUGGGAACUGCAUUUGGGACUGCAAAUCUAGAGUGUGGCAGAGGGGGGUGGAAUUCCGCGUGUAGCAGUGAAAUGCGUAGAGAUGCGGAGGAACACCGAUGGCGAAGGCAACCCCCUGGGCUAACACUGACACU
This 400-nucleotide ribosomal RNA is filed under the name uncultured bacterium. RNAcentral describes it as "bacterial SSU rRNA". It matches the Rfam family "Bacterial small subunit ribosomal RNA", at positions 355 to 747 of the family's 1533-position model. The record is from RNAcentral.